ACGAACGCUGGCGGCGUGCUUAACACAUGCAAGUCGCGCGGAAAGGCCCUUCGGGGUACUCGAGCGGCGAACGGGUGAGUAACACGUGAGUAACCUGCCCCAGACUUUGGGAUAACCCUCGGAAACGGGGGCUAAUACCGGAUACGACACAGCUUCGCAUGGGGUCUGUGUGGAAAGUUUUUCGGUUUGGGAUGGGCUCGCGGCCUAUCAGCUUGUUGGUGGGGUGAUGGCCUACCAAGGCGACGACGGGUAGCCGGCCUGAGAGGGCGACCGGCCACACUGGGACUGAGACACGGCCCAGACUCCUACGGGAGGCAGCAGUGGGGAAUAUUGCACAAUGGGCGGAAGCCUGAUGCAGCGACGCCGCGUGAGGGAUGACGGCCUUCGGGUUGUAAACCUCUUUCAGCAGGGACGAAGCGUAAGUGACGGUACCUGCAGAAGAAGCGCCGGCCAACUACGUG
Molecule: ribosomal RNA, 461 nt
Filed under: uncultured bacterium
Lineage: Bacteria
Description: partial 16S ribosomal RNA
Rfam family: Bacterial small subunit ribosomal RNA
Source: RNAcentral